Molecule: long non-coding RNA, 1162 nt
Organism: Chenopodium quinoa (quinoa)
Lineage: Eukaryota; Viridiplantae; Streptophyta; Magnoliopsida; Caryophyllales; Amaranthaceae
Exons: 3
Source: RefSeq, a predicted model, not a curated record
ACCACCACAUCUAUACCAAAAUAUUGUAAAGGAUCCCAUUGAACAAAAAAAUGAAAAAUUAAUAGAUAAAACAACAAAAGCGCAGUACAAAAAAUUGAAAAAGGGUGAGACUAGGUCAAAUUAAGUCUUCACUAUGGACAAGACUAGAUUAAAUCGAGAGCACGCCAUGGAGGGGCCUAGGUCAAAUUCACUCUCUACCAUGGAAGGGCCUAGGUCUAUUUUAGUCUCCACCAUGGGUAAGAUUGAAUUUGCUCCAGUCUGUCCCAUAGUCUCCCCCUAGUUUUUCAGAAAAAAAUUGAAAUAGAGACAAGAAUUACCAUGUUUUCGCUCAGUUAUACAUAAUCUUCCGCCCUUUCGAGGACUUGUGCAACCUCGUUACUUAGAUUUUUGUGCUUUGGUAAAUGGAGGUGGUGGUGGGACAGAGAAAGAAUGUGCAAACCAUAAAACUGGUGGUAUGGUGGUGGUGUUGUAGUAUUGUGGUGGAGAGACAAUGUGGUGGUGGUGGUAGCAGUGUUGUGGUGGUGGUGGCACUACAUAUAUUAAUGAAACAUUGUUAGGUUAAUUACAAUGAUGCAGAUUUAAUCAUGAUAUAUAGUGGGCUUGAUGAUAUAGCAAAGGCCAAAGACAUUGCUAGAAAAGUCAUCCAAGAGGAAUUCCACUGAAUCUUCUGCUAAACUGCGAAACGGAAGAGUAGGAUAUCAAAGCAUGUUACACUUGGGAAUGACAACGGAUUGGAUUCCAGUCGGAUGUGACUAAAUCUGAAUCCAAUCCGUUAAGACUCGGAUUUGAAUCUGAGUCGAAUUCGAGUUCGAAUCCGACUCAUUAUUUUCAGAUCUAAAUCAUGUCCGUUUAUUUGGACCUCCAAAAUGACCUAAAUAUUUUUUUUUUUACUUUUUUUUUUUUUUUUUUUUUUUUGUAAUGUGUGAUAUACCUAUAAUUUUUUGUAUUGUCAUACCGAAUGAAGUAUAAACAUAACAUAUUUAAAUUAUGAACUAAGUUACAUAAUAAAUUUCUUCUAUAAAACAAGCAAGCAAUUGUCCCAACUCCCAAGUUAUAAAGCAUAUACUCAUACUUUCGGACUUGGAGUCAAAUCGGACUCGGUCAGACUUUGCAUAGGGUCCAAGUCCGAUCUGCCUUCCAUUCGGAUUCAGAUCUAAUUAUC